RNAcentral lists this ribosomal RNA (253 nucleotides) under uncultured bacterium. Its description in RNAcentral is "partial 16S ribosomal RNA". It matches the Rfam family "Bacterial small subunit ribosomal RNA", at positions 524 to 776 of the family's 1533-position model. The record is from RNAcentral.
AACGUAGGACGCAAGCGUUAUCCGGAGUUACUGGGCGUAAAGCGCGCGUAGGCGGCUUUGUAAGUUAGAGGUGAAAGCCCGGGGCUCAACCCCGGAAUUGCCUUUAAGACUGCAUCGCUAGAAUCCAGGAGAGGUGAGUGGAAUUCCGAGUGUAGAGGUGAAAUUCGUAGAUAUCUGAAGGAACAUCAGUGGCGAAAGCGACUUCCUGGACCAAUACUGACGCUCAUGUGCGAAAGCGUGGGGAGCAAACAGG